This 484-nucleotide ribosomal RNA is filed under the name uncultured bacterium. RNAcentral describes it as "partial 16S ribosomal RNA". It matches the Rfam family "Bacterial small subunit ribosomal RNA", at positions 30 to 507 of the family's 1533-position model. The record is from RNAcentral.
AUUGAACGCUGGCGGAAUGCUUUACACAUGCAAGUCGAGCGGCAGCGCGGCCUUCGGGCUGGCGGCGAGCGGCGAACGGGUGAGUAAUGCAUCGGAACAUGCCCAGUCGUGGGGGAUAACACUUCGAAAGAAGUGCUAAUACCGCAUACGUCCUGAGGGGGAAAGCGGGGGAUCGCAAGACCUCGCGCGAUUGGAGUGGCCGAUGUCAGAUUAGCUAGUUGGUGGGGUAAAGGCCUACCAAGGCGACGAUCUGUAGCUGGUCUUAGAGGAUGAUCAGCCACACUGGGACUGAGACACGGCCCAGACUCCUACGGGAGGCAGCAGUGGGGAAUUUUGGACAAUGGGGGCAACCCUGAUCCAGCCAUUCCGCGUGAGUGAAGAAGGCCUUCGGGUUGUAAAGCUCUUUCGGCAGGAACGAAACGGUGGGCUCUAACAUAGUCCGCUAAUGACGGUACCUGAAGAAGAAGCACCGGCUAACUACGUG